GACGAACGCUGGCGGUGUGCUUAACACAUGCAAGUCGAACGGUAAGGCCCUUUCGGGGGUACACGAGUGGCGAACGGGCGAGUAACACGUGAGUAACCUGCCCUCAUCUCUGGGAUAACAGUCGGAAACGGUUGCGAAUACUGGAUAUGAGCUUGCAAGGCAUCUUGUGGGUUGGAAAGAUUUUUUUUGGUGGGGGAUGGACUCGCGGCCUAUCAGCUUGUUGGUGAGGGAGUGGCUCACCAAGGCGUCGACGGGUAGCCGGCCUGAGAGGGCGAGCGGGCACAUUGGGACUGUGAUACGGCCCACACUCCUCCGCGAGGCAGAAGUGGGGAAUAUUGCACAAUGGACGGAAGUCUGAGGCAGCAACGCCGCGUGCGCGAUGACGGCCUUCGGGUUGUAAACCGCUUUCAAGUGUGACGAAGCUUUUUUGUGACGGUAGCAGUAGAAGAAGCACCGGCUAACUACGUG
RNAcentral lists this ribosomal RNA (468 nucleotides) under uncultured bacterium. RNAcentral describes it as "partial 16S ribosomal RNA". It matches the Rfam family "Bacterial small subunit ribosomal RNA", at positions 28 to 507 of the family's 1533-position model. The record is from RNAcentral.